Molecule: long non-coding RNA, 776 nt
Organism: Hydractinia symbiolongicarpus
Lineage: Eukaryota; Metazoa; Cnidaria; Hydrozoa; Anthoathecata; Hydractiniidae
Exons: 5
Source: RefSeq, a predicted model, not a curated record
UGCUUAACAGACAUUUUUACACAAGGUGCAAGAGGAAGGAAUUAAAGUGUUUUAUCUGUGUAAAAGAAAAUCACAGAAUUUUACUAAAGUUAAAGAGCAACAAAGUCAACGUGUUUCAAAAAAGCAAUAAGUGAAAAUACAAAGUGGCGCGAAAUAUCAGAAAACUACGAUGUAUGAAGUGGCAAUGGUGUAAAAAAACAAUGAUGAUUCUAACAAGAUAAUGAUGACAACUAAAAGUUGCUAUGAAAAAAAAUUGUCUACGCAGAGAGGUUGUUCAAAGGUGUUCGAAGAGAAAGCGAGUCAAUAUUGUUGGGGAACAUUGAAAGUUGAGAUAUAGCAACAAACAGAAAGCAGUAGCUGUCGCUUCAAAUAUUGGGAGAGUUAAAAAAUCCGUAGCCACUGUUAAAAAGGAAAAAACGAAAGAACAAUAUCUUUGCAUGUUGAGAAAAUCGAGGAACAUAUUCUCCCUCAUCCUUACACACGGCAUAUGAGUGUUGUAGCAAUCGGUAUGACACGGACACGGAAGUUUUAACUCGUUGCGCGUAAUAUUCAGAGCUUAAAACGCCGAUGAAUUAAUGUAUAGGAAUAUGUACUUUUGAUGAAUUUAUAAGGAGAUAGCUCUUGAAAUAGUGAUUAAGAAAAUGACCAGUUUGUUCCGAAGAGACCAAGCUUCAUGAAAUUGGUCAAUACACAAAAAUAUUUUCGAGAAAUACCUAAACAUUUAUUUAAAAAUCGUGAGAUUUAAAAUCUUUGAAAAGUAGUAGUUUUCAAAUAUU